GACGAGGGGUCCUAGCGUUGUUCGGAAUCACUGGGCGUAAAGCGUUUGUAGGCGGCUCUAUAAGUCGGGUGUGAAAUCCCAUGGCUCAACCAUGGAAGUGCAUUCGAAACUGCAGAGCUUGAAUAUGGAAGAGGAGAGUGGAAUUCCUGGUGUAGCGGUGAAAUGCGCAGAUAUCAGGAAGAACACCCGUGGCGAAGGCGGCUCUCUGGGACGGUACUGACGCUGAGACGCGAAAGCGUGGGGAGCGAACAGG
This 253-nucleotide ribosomal RNA is filed under the name uncultured bacterium. RNAcentral's name for it is "partial 16S ribosomal RNA". It matches the Rfam family "Bacterial small subunit ribosomal RNA", at positions 524 to 776 of the family's 1533-position model. The record is from RNAcentral.